RNAcentral lists this ribosomal RNA (495 nucleotides) under uncultured bacterium. Its description in RNAcentral is "partial 16S ribosomal RNA". It matches the Rfam family "Bacterial small subunit ribosomal RNA", at positions 28 to 507 of the family's 1533-position model. The record is from RNAcentral.
GACGAACGCUGGCGGCGUGCCUAAUACAUGCAAGUAGAACGCUGAAGGAGGAGCUUGCUUCUCUGGAUGAGUUGCGAACGGGUGAGUAACGCGUAGGUAACCUGCCUGGUAGCGGGGGAUAACUAUUGGAAACGAUAGCUAAUACCGCAUAAGAGUAGGUGUUGCAUGACAUUUACUUAAAAGGUGCAAUUGCAUCACUACCAGAUGGACCUGCGUUGUAUUAGCUAGUUGGUGAGGUAACGGCUCACCAAGGCAACGAUACAUAGCCGACCUGAGAGGGUGAUCGGCCACACUGGGACUGAGACACGGCCCAGACUCCUACGGGAGGCAGCAGUAGGGAAUCUUCGGCAAUGGACGGAAGUCUGACCGAGCAACGCCGCGUGAGUGAAGAAGGUUUUCGGAUCGUAAAGCUCUGUUGUAAGAGAAGAACGAGUGUGAGAGUGGAAAGUUCACACUGUGACGGUAUCUUACCAGAAAGGGACGGCUAACUACGUG